GGGCUAAUUUCGGGUGUCACCGGACAUUUUACACUCCCGCAUGAUAAAGUGAUAAUCGAGAUUUCAUUAUCCGUCAUUUACAUAUUUUUUUUAUUUUGCUGUAAAAUUAAUUAGAAUUAAAUUCUGAGAGAUUUACCGAUAUUUUCGGUGAAAAAUUAGGUUAGGUUAGGUUAGGCACUGAGUUUUUCGUGUUCGAUAUAAGGGACCUUGAAAAGUUAUAGUCCGAUCACGACAAUUUUUCCACAAGGGAUACCUCAGCUCAAAUACCGUAUUUGUGUAAAGUUUUAUUCCGCUAUCAUCAUUGGUUUCUAAUGUAUAUAUUAUACAGAGAAGGCAUCAGAUGGAAUUCAAAAUAGCGUUAUAUGGGAAGAAGGCGUGGUUUUGAACCGAUUUCACCCAUAUUUCGUACAUGUCAUCAGGGUGUUAAGAAAAUAUUAUAUACCGAGUUUCAUUGAAAUCGGUCGAGCGGUUCCUGAGAUAUGCUUUUUGAUCCAUAAGUGGGCGACGCCACGCCCAUUUUCAAUUUUUAAAAAAAUUCUGGGUGCAGCUUCCUUCUGCCAUUUUUUCCGUAAAAUUUUGUGUUUCUGACGUUUUUUGUUAGUCGGUUAACGCACUUUUAGUGAUUUUCAACAUAACCUUUGUAUGGGAGGUGGGCGUGGUUAUUAUCCGAUUUCUUCCAUUUUUAAACUGUAUAUGGAAAUGCCUAGAGGAAACGAUUCUGUAGAGUUUGGUUGACAUAGCUGUAGUAGUUUCCGAGAUAUGUACAAAAAACUUAGUAGGGGGCGGGGCCACGCCCACUUUUCCAAAAAAACUACGUCCAAAUAUGCCCCUCCCUAAUGCGAUCCUAUGUGCCAAAUUUCACUUUAAUAUCUUUAUCUAUGGCUUAGUUAUGACACUUU
Molecule: long non-coding RNA, 899 nt
Organism: Bactrocera dorsalis (oriental fruit fly)
Lineage: Eukaryota; Metazoa; Arthropoda; Insecta; Diptera; Tephritidae
Exons: 2
Source: RefSeq, a predicted model, not a curated record